RNAcentral lists this ribosomal RNA (301 nucleotides) under uncultured bacterium. RNAcentral's name for it is "partial 16S ribosomal RNA". It matches the Rfam family "Bacterial small subunit ribosomal RNA", at positions 509 to 807 of the family's 1533-position model. The record is from RNAcentral.
CAGUCGCCGCGGGAAUACGUAGGUGGCAAGCGUUGUCCGGAAUUAUUGGGCGUAAAGGGCUCGCAGGCGGUUUCUUAAGUCUGAUGUGAAAGCCCCCGGCUCAACCGGGGAGGGUCAUUGGAAACUGGGAAACUUGAGUGCAGAAGAGGAGAGUGGAAUUCCACGUGUAGCGGUGAAAUGCGUAGAGAUGUGGAGAAACACCAGUGGCGAAGGCGACUCUCUGGUCUGUAACUGACGCUGAGGAGCGAAAGCGUGGGGAGCGAACAGGAUUAGAUACCCGUGUAGUCCCUGUCUCUUAUAC